Molecule: ribosomal RNA, 510 nt
Filed under: uncultured bacterium
Lineage: Bacteria
Description: partial 16S ribosomal RNA
Rfam family: Bacterial small subunit ribosomal RNA
Source: RNAcentral
GACGAACGCUGGCGGCGUGCUUAACACAUGCAAGUCGAACGAAGAGCGAUGGAAGCUUGCUUCUAUCAAUCUUAGUGGCGAACGGGUGAGUAACGCGUAAUCAACCUGCCCUUCAGAGGGGGACAACAGUUGGAAACGACUGCUAAUACCGCAUACGAUCCAAUCUCGGCAUCGGGACUGGAUGAAAGGUGGCCUCUAUUUAUAAGCUAUCACUGAAGGAGGGGAUUGCGUCUGAUUAGCUAGUUGGAGGGGUAACGGCCCACCAAGGCGAUGAUCAGUAGCCGGUCUGAGAGGAUGAACGGCCACAUUGGGACUGAGACACGGCCCAGACUCCUACGGGAGGCAGCAGUGGGGAAUCUUCCGCAAUGGACGAAAGUCUGACGGAGCAACGCCGCGGGAGUGAUGACGGCCGUCGGGUUGUAAAGCUCUGUUAAUCGGGACGAAUGGUUCUUGUGCGAAUAGUGCGAGGAUUUGACGGUACCGGAAUAGAAAGCCACGGCUAACUACGUG